AUGCCUUAGUACGGCGAGUGAAGCGGCAAAAGCUCAAAUUUGAAAUCUGGUACCUUCGGUGCCCGAGUUGUAAUUUGGAGAGGGCAACUUUGGGGCCGUUCCUUGUCUAUGUUCCUUGGAACAGGACGUCAUAGAGGGUGAGAAUCCCGUGUGGCGAGGAGUGCGGUUCUUUGUAAAGUGCCUUCGAAGAGUCGAGUUGUUUGGGAAUGCAGCUCUAAGUGGGUGGUAAAUUCCAUCUAAAGCUAAAUAUUGGCGAGAGACCGAUAGCGAACAAGUACAGUGAUGGAAAGAUGAAAAGAACUUUGAAAAGAGAGUGAAAAAGUACGUGAAAUUGUUGAAAGGGAAGGGCAUUUGAUCAGACAUGGUGUUUUGUGCCCUCUGCUCCUUGUGGGUAGGGGAAUCUCGCAUUUCACUGGGCCAGCAUCAGUUUUGGUGGCAGGAUAAAUCCAUAGGAAUGUAGCUUGCCUCGGUAAGUAUUAUAGCCUGUGGGAAUACUGCCAGCUGGGACUGAGGACUGCGACGUAAGUCAAGGAUGCUGGCAUAAUGGUUAUAUGCCGCCCGUCUGA
RNAcentral lists this ribosomal RNA (566 nucleotides) under Saccharomyces cerevisiae (brewer's yeast). Its description in RNAcentral is "eukaryotic LSU rRNA". It matches the Rfam family "Eukaryotic large subunit ribosomal RNA", at positions 73 to 656 of the family's 3401-position model. The record is from RNAcentral. Lineage: Eukaryota; Fungi; Ascomycota; Saccharomycetes; Saccharomycetales; Saccharomycetaceae.